GAUGAACGCUGGCGGCGUGCCUAAUACAUGCGAGUCGAGCGAACAGACGAGGAGCUUGCUCCUCUGACGUUAGCGGCGGACGGGUGAGUAACACGUGGAUAACCUACCUAUAAGACUGGGAUAACUUCGGGAAACCGGAGCUAAUACCGGAUAAUAUAUUGAACCGCAUGGUUCAAUAGUGAAAGGCGGUUUUGCUGUCACUUAUAGAUGGAUCCGCGCCGCAUUAGCUAGUUGGUAAGGUAACGGCUUACCAAGGCAACGAUGCGUAGCCGACCUGAGAGGGUGAUCGGCCACACUGGAACUGAGACACGGUCCAGACUCCUACGGGAGGCAGCAGUAGGGAAUCUUCCGCAAUGGGCGAAAGCCUGACGGAGCAACGCCGCGUGAGUGAUGAAGGUCUUCGGAUCGUAAAACUCUGUUAUUAGGGAAGAACAAAUGUGUAAGUAACUAUGCACGUCUUGACGGUACCUAAUCAGAAAGCCACGGCUAACUACGUG
Molecule: ribosomal RNA, 497 nt
Filed under: uncultured bacterium
Lineage: Bacteria
Description: partial 16S ribosomal RNA
Rfam family: Bacterial small subunit ribosomal RNA
Source: RNAcentral